UUAAACCGGUUUCGUUCUUAUAUUUCACAGUAUAAACUACAAAAACAUUGGUUUGCAUUAACACUCGCCAUUUUACACAGCUCGCAGACGGUAGUGUGUGUGUGUGCUCCCUGCUAAACACCAAUUUCACACUGCUAUUUUGGUGAAUUUUCUUGCAAAGUCAUGGGCAAACCAAAGGUCCAGGUUGCUCCUGAGAAUAGGAGAACCUCUCCCCGUCUGGCUCUGAAAGUGAAAGCUGCCCCCGUGGAGAAGAGAAAACCUGCUCCAAAAAAGGCACCAAAAGCCAAGAAGGUCAAGGCAGCAGAGAACGGCAACCCCAAGACUGAUGACUCCAAGCCUGAGACAACUGAGGGCAAUUGAACAAUCCUUGAUGUCCUCACUCUGUGUACUUGGUGAUUGUACAGUUUUAAAUAAGUAUUUUUUACCAAGUUUUUAUAUUACAAAAUGUCAUUUAUAGGUUCAUUUUGGGCUUGCACUUGAUGUAACAAAAACUGUGCUCACAAUUUCUCAUAUCCAUUUUAUAUCCAUUUAAAAUGACCGUCCAUAUCUUGUAGACGUGGCAUGUUUAGUUUGUCUAAUGUUUUUUUUUUCUAUUUUGUAACUGCUGAGUAGUAGAUAUUUUACAAACAGAUGGAUACCGAGUCUAAUUUUGAAACAUAAGGCAGCUAAAGCAUAUUAAAAAUAAAAAUCCAAAGAGGAAGGGAUUCACUCCUCUCUCCUUUGUUAAAAAGAAUUCUCACCAAAUGUUUUUCUGACACUGUAAUAUUAAAACACUUGAUCUGGUUGGUGGGGAAGGUGUCAAAAUACACCCCCACCUAAAAAGAAAGCAUAUUCGGAAACUCGGCUCUUUUGAUGAAAGGUCCUGAUAAGUUAUGUUUUAUUAGAGAACGGAUUUCUGACCACACGGAUUGAACUUAAUGUACUUAAAGGAAAAAUGUCAAAAUGUCUUGCUUUGUUGUGAAAUAAAAAAAAAUAUAAAAGCGUAUGAUAUGACAAAUGGA
This is a long non-coding RNA of Synchiropus splendidus (mandarinfish), 1001 nucleotides long. RefSeq lists it as uncharacterized. NCBI's taxonomy places the organism in Eukaryota, Metazoa, Chordata, Actinopteri, Syngnathiformes, Callionymidae. The transcript has 6 exons. The record is from RefSeq and is a predicted model, not a curated record.